UACAGAGGGUGCGAGCGUUAAUCGGAAUUACUGGGCGUAAAGCGCGCGUGGGCGGCUUUGCAAGUCGGGUGUGAAAUCCCCAGGCUUAACCUGGGAACUGCAUUCGAGACUGCAUUGCUAGAGUAUGGGAGAGGGAAGUGGAAUUUCCGGUGUAGCGGUGAAAUGCGUAGAUAUCGGAAGGAACAUCAGUGGCGAAAGCGACUUCCUGGACCAAUACUGACGCUCAUGUGCGAAAGCGUGGGGAGCAAACAGG
This 253-nucleotide ribosomal RNA is filed under the name uncultured bacterium. Its description in RNAcentral is "partial 16S ribosomal RNA". It matches the Rfam family "Bacterial small subunit ribosomal RNA", at positions 524 to 776 of the family's 1533-position model. The record is from RNAcentral.